CCCUGCCGCGCCGGGCUGCCCGCGACCCCCCCCGCCCGCCUUCCUCCGGCCCCCACAGUGGCUGGGGGCGUCUGAGCCGGCUCUUUGGCCCUCCGGGGAGCUGCGAGAAAAAGGCAUUGGACUUCAACCGUGUCGGGUUACUGCACACGUGGCAGUAAAGCUUCCAAGGACAACGCAUUCCACCCACCUACACCUUGUUUGAGUGCAUACACACUUAUGCUUGUGUUCAACUAAGGCAGCAUUUCUCUUUGUGACUUGUCUACAAAAAGAUGAAGCUGAACCAGCUACUGGAAUGUAUAUGCACUGGGCCUGCCAAAAGAAAUAUAUUCCCAC
Molecule: long non-coding RNA, 333 nt
Organism: Vidua macroura (Pin-tailed whydah)
Lineage: Eukaryota; Metazoa; Chordata; Aves; Passeriformes; Viduidae
Exons: 3
Source: RefSeq, a predicted model, not a curated record